Non-coding RNA from Triticum aestivum (bread wheat), 125 nucleotides. Lineage: Eukaryota; Viridiplantae; Streptophyta; Magnoliopsida; Poales; Poaceae. The record is from Rfam.
GUUCUACUUUCAUCAUCUGGAAUUACUUGUCAGACAAAUGGAUGUAUCUAGACGUAUUUUAAUUCUAGAUACAUCCAUUUUUAUGCAUUUCUACGACAAGUAAUUUCGGAUGAGGGAAGGAGUAU